ACUUGGAUUUGCCUGCUCCUUCUGCCUCCUAUUGUCAUGCUUCUGAGGUAAAUAGCAUCUCUGGAGUCCAGCCAGGACCUUGGAUUUUGCUCAUGCUAGAAAUGCCCAGGGUGGUGCUUGGUCCACAGAAGGUGGAUUUGUUCAAGCUGUACUUCUGAAGACACAUGUGGGAUAAUUAACAAGGCAUCUGCAGCAGAGAGUGGAUUUGUCAAGAAAUAACAUAAAUAAACAACAAUUACUGAAGUGACUCUACUCUGGCAGAGAGGCAUUUCUGGGCAAGUUUGAGGAGCAUGGAAUUAACAGUCAUCAAUGCAUUGCUGGAUUUGAAAAUGAUUUAUAUCAAUCAGCAGAGGACCUCCACUGGUGAUGUCAGCAGGAUCUGAGGAUGUU
This 390-nucleotide long non-coding RNA is filed under the name Homo sapiens (human). RNAcentral describes it as "long non-coding RNA NONHSAT156898.1". The record is from RNAcentral. Lineage: Eukaryota; Metazoa; Chordata; Mammalia; Primates; Hominidae.